This 253-nucleotide ribosomal RNA is filed under the name uncultured bacterium. RNAcentral describes it as "partial 16S ribosomal RNA". It matches the Rfam family "Bacterial small subunit ribosomal RNA", at positions 524 to 776 of the family's 1533-position model. The record is from RNAcentral.
UACGAAGGAUCCAAGCGUUAUCCGGAUUUAUUGGGUUUAAAGGGUGCGUAGGUGGACUAUUAAGUCAGUGGUGAAAGCCUGCAGCUUAACUGCAGAAUUGCCAUUGAUACUGAUGGUCUUGAGUGCAUUUGAAGUGGGCGGAAUGUGUCGUGUAGUGGUGAAAUACUUAGAUAUGACACAGAACACCAAUUGCGAAGGCAGCUCACUAAACUGCAACUGACACUGAGGCACGAAAGCGUGGGGAUCAAACAGG